This 367-nucleotide ribosomal RNA is filed under the name uncultured eukaryote. RNAcentral's name for it is "partial 18S ribosomal RNA". It matches the Rfam family "Eukaryotic small subunit ribosomal RNA", at positions 592 to 975 of the family's 1831-position model. The record is from RNAcentral.
CAGUAGCGUAUAUUAAAGUUGUUGCAGUUAAAAUGCUCGUAGUUGAAGUUCGGAUGCAGCAGAGCUUGGAAACGCUGUUAUGGUGCUUCCGUUGCUUUUGCUUGUCCACAGUGCGUUGCAAGUACGUAUGUGCUUGUGCGUGCAUUUUACUUUGAGAAACAUAGGGUGUUCCACGCAUGUUACGGCAUGAAUAUUCCAGCAUGGGAUAAUCUGGUACGACUUCCAAUCUGCCAUUUUGGUUCGUAGGUUGGAAGUAAUGAUUAAUAGGGACUGUCGGGGGCAUUGGUAUUUGACUGUCAGAGGUGAAAUUCUUGGAUUUAUGAAAGACGAACGACUGCGAAAGCAUUUACCAAGGAUGUUUUCAUUA